RNAcentral lists this ribosomal RNA (829 nucleotides) under uncultured bacterium. RNAcentral's name for it is "bacterial SSU rRNA". It matches the Rfam family "Bacterial small subunit ribosomal RNA", at positions 28 to 868 of the family's 1533-position model. The record is from RNAcentral.
GAUGAACGCUGGCGGCGUGCUUAACACAUGCAAGUCGAACGAUGAUCCCAGCUUGCUGGGGGAUUAGUGGCGAACGGGUGAGUAACACGUGAGUAACCUGCCCUUAACUCUGGGAUAAGCCUGGGAAACUGGGUCUAAUACCGGAUAUGACUCCUCAUCGCAUGGUGGGGGGUGGAAAGCUUUUUUGUGGUUUUGGAUGGACUCGCGGCCUAUCAGCUUGUUGGUGAGGUAAUGGCUCACCAAGGCGACGACGGGUCGCCGGCCUGAGAGGGUGACCGGCCACACUGGGACUGAGACACGGCCCAGACUCCUACGGGAGGCAGCAGUGGGGAGUAUUGCACAAUGGGCGCAAGCCUGAUGCAGCGACGCCGCGUGAGGGAUGACGGCCUUCGGGUUGUAAACCUCUUUCAGUAGGGAAGAAGCGAAAGUGACGGUACCUGCAGAAGAAGCGCCGGCUAACUACGUGCCAGCAGCCGCGGUAAUACGUAGGGCGCAAGCGUUAUCCGGAAUUAUUGGGCGUAAAGAGCUCGUAGGCGGUUUGUCGCGUCUGCCGUGAAAGUCCGGGGCUCAACUCCGGAUCUGCGGUGGGUACGGGCAGACUAGAGUGAUGUAGGGGAGACUGGAAUUCCUGGUGUAGCGGUGAAAUGCGCAGAUAUCAGAGGAACACCGAUGGCGAAGGCAGGUCUCUGGGCAUUAACUGACGCUGAGGAGCGAAAGCAUGGGGAGCGAACAGGAUUAGAUACCCUGGUAGUCCAUGCCGUAAACGUUGGGCACUAGGUGUGGGGGGACAUUCCACGUUUUCCGCGCCGUAGCUAACGCAUUAAGUGCC